RNAcentral lists this ribosomal RNA (250 nucleotides) under uncultured bacterium. Its description in RNAcentral is "partial 16S ribosomal RNA". It matches the Rfam family "Bacterial small subunit ribosomal RNA", at positions 528 to 779 of the family's 1533-position model. The record is from RNAcentral.
CGUAGGGCAAGCGUUGUCCGGAAUUAUUGGGCGUAAAGCGCUCGCAGGCGGUCUUUAAGUCUGAUGUGAAAGCCCACGGCUCAACCGUGGAGGGUCAUUGGAAACUGGAGGACUUGAGUACAGAAGAGGAGAGUGGAAUUCCACGUGUAGCGGUGAAAUGCGUAGAGAUGUGGAGGAACACCAGUGGCGAAGGCGACUCUCUGGUCUGUAACUGACGCUGAGGAGCGAAAGCGUGGGAGCGAACAGGAUU